AGCAUACUCACACAGAUCCUCAGCGACUUAAGCAAACAUACUGAGAAGCACAUGCUCCUGGGGGCAGGUCCACAUACUGAAUGUGAUGAGCACAGGGGCUGUCUACUUGUAAUAUGUCUCUGUGUAAAAAAUCUCAAAUAAAGGAUUUGAACGUCUUCGUCCAUCAGAAUUCCAGAACAAAAAGUGUUGUGAAGACACAUGGUUCUAACCAGCCUUAUGUAAGAAGUUACAGAAGACCUUGAGGAAUGCUUCCUGCUACAGGGAAGAAGAUUGACAGAGGCUGAAAAUGCCUGGGAGUGUCCUGACAUAUAUGUGUAUAUCUCACAAGGAACACCUUUCAGAGUUUUGUGUUUUAUAAGACAAAGUAAGACCCUGAAUUAUGGGAAUAUCAAUUUGCUCUAGCUGUCUAGAAAUUAUGCUAGAGAGCAGAAUUGUCGAAAAGUUCUUCUAAUUCCACUUAAAGGCUGUAUAUAUAUAUAAAAUCAAUGUAAGAAACCAGGGACAUCUGAGUCACCCUUAUGAGGGGUCAUCAGCAUGAUAUAGAUUAUUGUAACCAAUUAAAAAGUUUUAAACUGUACGUUUUUGCAUUUUAUUAUAUAAAGAAACUAUGACUAAUU
Long non-coding RNA from Lepisosteus oculatus (spotted gar), 617 nucleotides. The record is from Ensembl. Lineage: Eukaryota; Metazoa; Chordata; Actinopteri; Semionotiformes; Lepisosteidae.